Molecule: non-coding RNA, 234 nt
Organism: Cinara cedri
Lineage: Eukaryota; Metazoa; Arthropoda; Insecta; Hemiptera; Aphididae
Source: the annotation of a GenBank genome assembly
GCCCGAAUUAUCCAUCUCUUCACCUACCUAUAUUCCCCCACUUUUUUUUUGUUACUUUUUUUAUUACAUACUGCUAUCAUGUACAUGUAUGUAUGUGGUUAGGUAGAUGUGUGCGAGUGUGUGUGUAGUGUUACUCAGUGAUAAGGAAGACAAAUUAGUACGUAGAAAAUAUUUUGAAAAAAAAAAGUGAAGGAGGGGGGAAUAUAGGUAGGUGAAGAGAUGGAUCAUUUGGGC